GCGAGAGUAGUUCAGUGGCUAGAAUGUUUCCUUGCCAAGGAAAAGGUCGCGAGUUCGAAUCUCGUCUCUCGCU
RNAcentral lists this transfer RNA (73 nucleotides) under candidate division TM6 bacterium GW2011_GWF2_28_16. RNAcentral's name for it is "tRNA-Gly". It matches the Rfam family "tRNA". Rfam says of the family: Transfer RNA (tRNA) molecules are approximately 80 nucleotides in length. The record is from RNAcentral. RNAcentral also lists the same sequence under 2 other names.